GACGAACGCUGGCGGCGUGCUUAACACAUGCAAGUCGAACGGUGACCCAGGGCUUGCCCUGGUGAUCAGUGGCGAACGGGUGAGUAACACGUGGGCAACCUGCCCCUGACUUCGGGAUAACUCCUCGAAAGAGGAGCUAAUACCGGAUACGACCACUUCGGACAUCCGAUGGUGGUGGAAAGUUUUUCGGUCAGGGAUGGGCCCGCGGCCUAUCAGCUAGUUGGUGGGGUAAUGGCCUACCAAGGCGACGACGGGUAGCCGGCCUGAGAGGGCGACCGGCCACACUGGGACUGAGACACGGCCCAGACUCCUACGGGAGGCAGCAGUGGGGAAUAUUGCGCAAUGGGCGAAAGCCUGACGCAGCGACGCCGCGUGAGGGAUGAAGGCCUCGGUUGUAAACCGUCUUCUAGCAGGACGAAGCGAAAGUGACGGUACCGUGCAGAAGAAGCGACCGGCUAACUACGUGCC
This 468-nucleotide ribosomal RNA is filed under the name uncultured bacterium. RNAcentral's name for it is "bacterial SSU rRNA". It matches the Rfam family "Bacterial small subunit ribosomal RNA", at positions 28 to 509 of the family's 1533-position model. The record is from RNAcentral.